RNAcentral lists this ribosomal RNA (550 nucleotides) under uncultured bacterium. RNAcentral's name for it is "bacterial SSU rRNA". It matches the Rfam family "Bacterial small subunit ribosomal RNA", at positions 355 to 896 of the family's 1533-position model. The record is from RNAcentral.
UGGGGAAUCUUCCGCAAUGGACGAAAGUCUGACGGAGCAACGCCGCGUGAGUGAUGACGGCCUUCGGGUUGUAAAGCUCUGUUAAUCGGGACGAAAGGUCUUCUUGCGAAUAGUUAGAAGAAUUGACGGUACCGGAAUAGAAAGCCACGGCUAACUACGUGCCAGCAGCCGCGGUAAUACGUAGGUGGCAAGCGUUGUCCGGAAUUAUUGGGCGUAAAGCGCGCGCAGGCGGAUUGGUCAGUCUGUCUUAAAAGUUCGGGGCUUAACCCCGUGAUGGGAUGGAAACUGCCAAUCUAGAGUAUCGGAGAGGAAAGUGGAAUUCCUAGUGUAGCGGUGAAAUGCGUAGAUAUUAGGAAGAACACCAGUGGCGAAGGCGACUUUCUGGACGAAAACUGACGCUGAGGCGCGAAAGCCAGGGGAGCGAACGGGAUUAGAUACCCCGGUAGUCCUGGCCGUAAACGAUGGGUACUAGGUGUAGGAGGUAUCGACCCCUUCUGUGCCGGAGUUAACGCAAUAAGUACCCCGCCUGGGGAGUACGACCGCAAGGUUG